UACGGGGGGGGUAAGCGUUGUUCGGAAUUACUGGGCGUAAAGGGCUCGUAGGCGGCCAACUAAGUCGGACGUGAAAUCCCUCAGCUUAACUGGGGAACUGCGUCCGAUACUGGAUGGCUUGGAUUUGGGAGAGGGAUGCGGAAUUCCAGGUGUAGCGGUGAAAUGCGUAGAUAUCUGGAGGAACACCGGUGGCGAAGGCGGCAUCCUGGACCGGUAUUGACGCUGAUGCGCGAAAGCGUGGGGAGCAAACAGG
This 253-nucleotide ribosomal RNA is filed under the name uncultured bacterium. RNAcentral describes it as "partial 16S ribosomal RNA". It matches the Rfam family "Bacterial small subunit ribosomal RNA", at positions 524 to 776 of the family's 1533-position model. The record is from RNAcentral.